GCUGAUUAAAUAUCUUUCACAUUCAACUUGAGUAUUGAGAUGAAAAGUUAUGUCUAAAAAGAUAAGGUAUUCUAAUAAGACGAGUUCAUGUCGAGGGAUUUACAUUUCAUGUAAGGGAGUUAUAUAUAGUCUUGAUAAUAAGGAAAAUCGUUAAAUUAAUAUAUAUAGAAGUAGCUCCUCCAUUGUAUCGCAUUUUAUCAUAGAUUGUAAAAUAAUUCCACAUUGUAAAAAUGUCAUCUAUCAAAAUUCAAACAGGGUUUCUGAUUGGUAUUGUCCUAUGCUUUCUUUCUGUCUCUAGGAGAACGAGAAUGGAAUGCUAUUGGAUGUAAGACACCUG
This is a non-coding RNA of Parasteatoda tepidariorum (common house spider), 337 nucleotides long. Lineage: Eukaryota; Metazoa; Arthropoda; Arachnida; Araneae; Theridiidae. The record is from RefSeq and is a predicted model, not a curated record.